AUAGGAACAGCUGGGAGCACCCAAGACACUGGCAGUUGGAAAAGUGAUGGAGGACAAGUAGGACCUCGGGGGCAAGUAAAAGCAAGAAGCACUUGAAAAAGGAAAGCAAUGUUAAGAUGACCUGGAGGGAAGAAAAAGAGAUUUGGGAGAAGAGCCAUGCCCAAAAGACCAGCAAAAGGACUUUUCCAAUGGAAUCUGUUCUAAUGCCCCAAGUUCCACGUGGCAAUUACUUGCAUCUUCAGGAAGAGAAGCAAAGACUACAGCUCAAGAAAUUCCUUCUUCAUAGGAUGUUUCUUGUGGCCAAGAUAACAGCAAACACAGAAAAAAAAAUUAUUGCUGACUACUAUGAACAAGUGCUUCAGUCAACUUUAAAACUUCACAAAGGAGAAGCAGUGACAGGGUUUUUGCUCAUCUAUCCUACUUCUAUUCUGCAUAUUCUUGAGUCCUCCAGUGAUACGCUUUACCAAAUUCUUUUAGAUCAUCUUGACCAGAGAAAGAAUGAUACAGAAUUUUUUAUCCAAGGGAUGAAAAUUAUAGUUGUGUCCCAUAACAUCCCGACAAGACUCUUCAUGCAAUGGCAUGUAUCAGAAAUAAAAGCUCCAGUCAUGUAUCUCGAUGAUGUCACACAGACACAGUCCCUAGAAGAGGUCAUCACCGAGUUUCUCACCCAGACUCAUAAACUGUCAAUUCACCUUUUAAAGACUGUGAAAGUGAGUGCUAAAGGACCAGGGGAUAACUUGCACCAACUAGCACCUGAAUUGCUCAUCCCAGAACAAAUAAUAAAGUACUUGUGCAAAUCUCAAGAAUUCAUGGAUCCAGAAGCUUUCCUAAACAUGUAUAAUAAACCCAUACAUAUCACUUUGGAUUCUGAGGUGGUAUGGCCUGCUCCUUCCCAUUUCUAGGAUUGAGAGAGAUGUGGUUAAUGUGGUCCAGUCUCUCAAGGAAUUGAUGCUACUUAAAUAAAAAGAAAACACUUCUGAGGGGACUCUUCUCUUGAAAAAAGAAAGGACCAUACGCCACAAUAUACACAAAGUCAAUGAGAAGCUGCACCACCCAGAAUCAAAUUUCAGGAAAAACAAUUUUGUUCUUGGAAUAUAAAAUUUAGGGGGGAAAUACCAUCACUGAGUUGCUUGCAACGUACAUUUAGAGGAAAGUAUGUGUAAAAGCAACUAUGACUCAAUGAAUGAAUCCAAGAAUGACCAAGGGGACAGAGUUUUAUUGAAUGCCUCCUGAACUACAGACUCUGCAGUACCCAGGUGCUGUCAUUUAAAUGGCAGUCUCCUGCUGCCAGGAGACUCAAAAAAAGAAAAACAGAUAUGUGAACCAACAAUUUAAAUGCCAUUAUACUGUAAUAAAGGGAUGUGAAAAUCAUCAUGGUGGCACACAGAGAGAAUAAUCAAUUCUCCAAGAAAUGCUUUCACAUCUGAGCCUUGGAAUCUGAAGGUCCUGGAUCCAAGCCCAAGCUCUCUGACACUCAGGAGUUGUGAAAUGGGGAGCUUCAUCUCAUCUGCAAAACGAAGCCAAUAGUGCCAACAUUUUAAAAUUGUUUUAAACAUUAAAUAAAACAAUGCAUGAAAGGCGUGCUUCGGCCUAGUAUGUCUGACAUAAAAUGAGUGCUUCUAACCUGCUGCUGUAACUGUGACCUGGGAAUUAGGGAAGAAUUUAGAACUCCAGGGCAGCUUCAUGGAGGAUACUCACAGGACUUACCAGUGGGAAAAGGAAAGGAUAGAGAAUAAGAAAAUCACAAAAUCUUCCUCUGCCCCGGCCUCUGAAUUACAAAUCAAGGCAGCAUUGGUGAGUGGCCACUGGUUCACUAAUUCCCUAUUGUUAGUGUGUACAACACACUCAUGGGCUCCUUGUUUGAAGUGCAGAUCCCCGGCCCCACCCCAGGCAUUCUGAUUCUAUCAAGUCUAGUCUGGGGACAUCAAAUUCUGCAGUUUAACCCCUUUUAGACAGUAACUGAAGAAGAGGAGCUCUACAGACAGUUCUAACUCGAUUUUACUACAAGUAGCUAAAUUGCCAUAUUUGGCUUGUAAUUUAAGUCUUAUCGUUCAUCUUUAUGUUCUAGAAUCAGGAGAAAGUGACACAUAUACACACAAAAAAGUACUUACUACUGAUUGCAUUUAAAGCAGCCAACUUGAUGGCCUUUCUCUAGAAUAUUCACAUUUUAACCCCAAUUUUUGAAAAAUGAACCAUAAUGGCAAAGAUUGGAAAUGUCCUCUUCUGAGACAUUUGUCAUACAGGUUUAUUUGUAUAAUGUGUGUUUUCCAUUCUAGACUGUAAAUUCCAUUCAGGCAGACAACAGGGGCACCGGAUUUGCAUCAGUAGCCCCCUCAGCUCACACAAUGCCAGACAAAGUUAAUCAAGAAGCAUUUUGUUUUUAGAAAAAUGGAAAAUGCUUGCAUUCUUUGGCAGGAGAAGGAAUGGCAGAAGAAUCACAGGGCAGGAGUAGACAGGAGAAAUAUUUAGGAAGUACAAUGAGCAGGUGUACCGAUCUGAUGAGGCAUUAAAGAAAAACACUCUCAAGCUUCAAGCCUAUGUUGUUGGAUGAAAACGAUGUCCCCAACCAAGGAAGAACACACCUGAUGGAAGAUAUAUUUUUAAAGGUUAUGUGUCUGAGAUGUCUGUGAGAGAUAACAACGAGUGAAGGACUACACAUGUAUAUGAACCUAAAAUUCUAAGGUGUGGUGAGCAGAAUAACAGCCCCCAUCAAUGCCCGUGAUCAAAUUCUCAGAACCCAUAAAUUCUAUCUCACAUGUCAAAAAGGUCUUUGCAGAUACGAUUAAAACUAAGAACCUUGAGAGGAGGAGCGACUCCUGGAUAGAUAGGUCCAGUCUAAACACGUGAAUCUUUUAAGGCAAAGAGUUUUUUCCAGCUGUGGAGAAUCAGAGAGAUGGUACCAGGAAAGAAACUUGCUGGCUUUGAAAAAUGGAGAGGGGUAAUCAUAAGGCAAGGAAUACAGGCAAAUUCUAGAAGCUGGAGGAGGAAAUGGAUUCUGCCUUAAAGCCUCCAGAAAGGAAGGCAGCCCUUCCUGUCCCUUGAUUUUAGUCCAUUGAGAUCUCCGUAUGACUUC
This is an RNA transcript of Acinonyx jubatus (cheetah), 3073 nucleotides long. It is a transcript of the gene named testis expressed 47, with no coding region annotated. The transcript has 4 exons. The record is from RefSeq and is a predicted model, not a curated record. Lineage: Eukaryota; Metazoa; Chordata; Mammalia; Carnivora; Felidae.